Molecule: ribosomal RNA, 253 nt
Filed under: uncultured bacterium
Lineage: Bacteria
Description: partial 16S ribosomal RNA
Rfam family: Bacterial small subunit ribosomal RNA
Source: RNAcentral
UACGGAGGGUGCAAGCGUUAUCCGGAUUCACUGGGUUUAAAGGGCUCGUAGGUGGCCAACUAAGUCAGACGUGAAAUCCCUCAGCUUAACUGGGGAACUGCGUCUGAUACUGGAUGGCUUGAGAUUGGGAGAGGGAUGCGGAAUUCCAGGUGUAGCGGUGAAAUGCGUAGAUAUCUGGAGGAACACCGGUGGCGAAGGCGGCAUCCUGGACCAACACUGACACUGAGGAGCGAAAGCCAGGGGAGCAAACGGG